Molecule: ribosomal RNA, 514 nt
Filed under: uncultured bacterium
Lineage: Bacteria
Description: bacterial SSU rRNA
Rfam family: Bacterial small subunit ribosomal RNA
Source: RNAcentral
GAUGAACGCUGGCGGCGUGCCUAAUACAUGCAAGUCGAGCGAACAGAUAAGGAGCUUGCUCCUUUGACGUUAGCGGCGGACGGGUGAGUAACACGUGGGUAACCUACCUAUAAGACUGGGAUAACUUCGGGAAACCGGAGCUAAUACCGGAUAACAUUUGGAACCGCAUGGUUCUAAAGUGAAAGAUGGUUUUGCUAUCACUUAUAGAUGGACCCGCGCCGUAUUAGCUAGUUGGUAAGGUAACGGCUUACCAAGGCGACGAUACGUAGCCGACCUGAGAGGGUGAUCGGCCACACUGGAACUGAGACACGGUCCAGACUCCUACGGGAGGCAGCAGUAGGGAAUCUUCCGCAAUGGGCGAAAGCCUGACGGAGCAACGCCGCGUGAGUGAUGAAGGGUUUCGGCUCGUAAAACUCUGUUAUUAGGGAAGAACAAAUGUGUAAGUAACUGUGCACGUCUUGACGGUACCUAAUCAGAAAGCCACGGCUAACUACGUGCCAGCCGCCGCGGUAAU